RNAcentral lists this ribosomal RNA (460 nucleotides) under uncultured bacterium. Its description in RNAcentral is "partial 16S ribosomal RNA". It matches the Rfam family "Bacterial small subunit ribosomal RNA", at positions 338 to 795 of the family's 1533-position model. The record is from RNAcentral.
CCUACGGGUGGCUGCAGUGAGGAAUAUUGGUCAAUGGCCGGAAGGCUGAACCAGCCAUGCCGCGUGAAGGUCAGUGCCCUAUGGGCGUUAAACUUCUUUUGUGCGGGAGCAAUAAUGGUCACGUGUGGCCAGACGAGAGUACCGUACGAAUAAGCAUCGGCUAACUCCGGGCCAGCAGCCGCGGUAAUACGGGGGAUGCAAGCGGUAUCCGAGUUUAUUGGGUUUAAAGGGUGCGUAGGCUGUGAGGUAAGUCAGCGUUGGAAUGCCCCCGCUCAACGGGGUGAAGUGCCAUUGAUACUGCCUGGCUGGAAUGCGGAUGCCGUGGGAGGAAUGUGUGGUGUAGCGGUGAAAUGCAUAGAUAUCACACAGAACACCGAUUGCGAAGGCAUCUCACGAAUCCGCGAUUGACGCUGAUGCACGAAAGCGUGGGUAUCAAACAGGAUUAGAUACCCUAGUAGUC